CAGUAGCGUAUAUUAAAGUUGUUGCAGUUAAAAAGCUCGUAGUUGGAUUUCUGGCAAGUCGAAGCUAGCCUGGCUCCUAGAGUCUCGUGCUGGAUCUCGUCUGCCAUCCUUCCAGAGAACGACAAUACCAUUCACUUGGCCGUUGUUGCAAUCUGGAACUUUUACUUUGAAAAAUUAGAGUGUUCAAAGCAGGCGUUACGCUAUGAAUACAUUAGCAUGGAAUAAUAAUUUAGGACUUUGGUUCUAUUUUGUUGGUUCUAGGACCGAAGUAAUGAUUGAUAGGGAUAGUUGGGGGUGGCUAGUAUUCAGCGGCCAGAGGUGAAAUUCUUGGAUUCGCUGAAGACUAACUUAUGCGAAAGCAUUCACCAAGGAUGUCUUCUUUAAUCAAGAACGAAAGUUGGGGAUCGAAGAUGAUCAGAUACCAU
This 425-nucleotide ribosomal RNA is filed under the name uncultured eukaryote. RNAcentral describes it as "bacterial SSU rRNA". It matches the Rfam family "Eukaryotic small subunit ribosomal RNA", at positions 592 to 1018 of the family's 1831-position model. The record is from RNAcentral.